AUUCCUACGGGAGGCAGCAGUGGGGAAUUUUCCGCAAUGGGCGAAAGCCUGACGGAGCAAUACCGCGUGAGGGAAGACUGCCUAUGGGUUGUAAACCUCUUUUUUCAGGGAGGAAUCAUUGACGUGUACCUGAAGAAUAAGCAUCGGCUAACUCCGUGCCAGCAGCCGCGGUAAGACGGAGGAUGCAAGUGUUAUCCGGAAUCACUGGGCGUAAAGCGUCUGUAGGUGGUUUAAUAAGUCAACUGUUAAAUCUUGAGGCUUAACUUCAAAAUCGCAGUCGAAACUAUUAGACUAGAGUAUAGUAGGGGUAAAGGGAAUUUCCAGUGGAGCGGUGAAAUGCGUAGAUAUUGGAAAGAACACCGAUGGCGAAAGCACUUUACUGGGCUAUUACUAACACUCAGAGACGAAAGCUAGGGUAGCAAAUGGGAUUAGAUACCCCAGUAGUCCUAGCCGUAAACAAUGGAUACUAGAUGUUGAACAGAUCGACCUGUGCAGUAUCAAAGCUAACGCGUUAAGUAUCCCGCCUGGGAAGUAUGCUCGCAAGAGUGAAACUCAAAGGAAUUGACGGAAU
RNAcentral lists this ribosomal RNA (571 nucleotides) under uncultured bacterium. RNAcentral's name for it is "bacterial SSU rRNA". It matches the Rfam family "Bacterial small subunit ribosomal RNA", at positions 335 to 919 of the family's 1533-position model. The record is from RNAcentral.